GGAGUUAUAGUUAAUAAUAACAUUUGAAUUGCAAUCAAAAAGUAUUGAACAAAUCAAUUAUCUUCA
RNAcentral lists this transfer RNA (66 nucleotides) under Pulchriphyllium giganteum. Its description in RNAcentral is "tRNA-Ala". It matches the Rfam family "tRNA". Rfam says of the family: Transfer RNA (tRNA) molecules are approximately 80 nucleotides in length. Their secondary structure includes four short double-helical elements and three loops (D, anti-codon, and T loops). Further hydrogen bonds mediate the characteristic L-shaped molecular structure. tRNAs have two regions of fundamental functional importance: the anti-codon, which is responsible for specific mRNA codon recognition, and the 3' end, to which the tRNAs corresponding amino acid is attached (by aminoacyl-tRNA synthetases). tRNAs cope with the degeneracy of the genetic code in two manners: having more than one tRNA (with a specific anti-codon) for a particular amino acid; and 'wobble' base-pairing, i.e. permitting non-standard base-pairing at the 3rd anti-codon position. The record is from RNAcentral. Lineage: Eukaryota; Metazoa; Arthropoda; Insecta; Phasmatodea; Phylliidae.